RNAcentral lists this ribosomal RNA (253 nucleotides) under uncultured bacterium. Its description in RNAcentral is "partial 16S ribosomal RNA". It matches the Rfam family "Bacterial small subunit ribosomal RNA", at positions 524 to 776 of the family's 1533-position model. The record is from RNAcentral.
UACGUAGGGGGCAAGCGUUGUCCGGAUUUAUUGGGCGUAAAGAGCGUGUAGGCGGCUAGGUAGGUCCGUUGUGAAAACUCGAGGCUCAACCUCGAGACGCCGAUGGAAACCAUCUAGCUAGAGUCCGGAAGAGGAGAGUGGAAUUCCUGGUGUAGCGGUGAAAUGCGCAGAUAUCGGGAGGAACACCUAUGGCGAAGGCAGCUCGCUGGGACGUUACUGACGCUGAGACGCGAAAGCGUGGGGAGCAAACAGG